Molecule: non-coding RNA, 530 nt
Organism: Castor canadensis (American beaver)
Lineage: Eukaryota; Metazoa; Chordata; Mammalia; Rodentia; Castoridae
Source: RefSeq, a predicted model, not a curated record
CUCGUCGGAGAGGAAAUGCUCUCGCCUCGUGCUGGCUGCGGGUCCUUGGCCCGCGGGGCGACACGAGGUGGCCCUGGCCGCGGUGAUGGCGAAACUCUGCCGGGGUGGGGAGGCCGGAAGCGCUGAGACCCCAGCUCGGGCCCGCGGGACCCCAGGGCCGGACGCCCCUCCGUUAGAAUCUGUUCCAGGAGCCACUGGGGCGUGGACGGGAGGAGAGCGAGGGAGGAAAUGAGAUCUUGAUUGGGUGGAGGCACGCGUCGAUUCCUUCCCGACCUCUGAUGAGUGUUUUCAAAGUGGCCUCAAUUCGGGUGACCCAGGUCACUUGACCAGAAGAUCUGUGUGCUGGGUGAAGGCUGACUUCCUUUCUGCUGGUUGUGUGGUUGGUAUGUCAUUGCUGUGGCUUAGGCACUUCCAGGUCUGCUGGUUUAAUUCUUACCCAUGUGCUCUUUGAGUGCUGGCCUGCUGAAGUCUGUUCUGUGUGGAUGUAAAUAAAUGUGAAGUGACCCCGAGGAGUCUCUUGUGUUCUUUAU